RNAcentral lists this unclassified non-coding RNA (156 nucleotides) under uncultured Nectriaceae. Its description in RNAcentral is "sequence contains ITS1". Lineage: Eukaryota; Fungi; Ascomycota; Sordariomycetes; Hypocreales; Nectriaceae. The record is from RNAcentral.
UCGAGUUUACAACUCCCAAACCCCUGUGAACAUACCUAUCGUUGCUUCGGCGGGAAAUGCCCCGGCGCCCUCGGGCCCGGACUCGGGCGCCCGCCGGAGGACCCAAACUCUUUGUCUCUGAUGUGUAUCUUCUGAGUGACACAAGCAAAUAAAUUA